AGACAGCAGCAGCCACGGUAAUACAGAGGGUGCGAGCGUUAAUCGGAUUUACUGGGCGUAAAGCGUGCGUAGGCGGCUUCUUAAGUCGGAUGUGAAAUCCCUGAGCUUAACUUAGGAAUUGCAUUCGAUACUGGGAAGCUAGAGUAUGGGAGAGGAUGGUAGAAUUCCAGGUGUAGCGGUGAAAUGCGUAGAGAUCUGGAGGAAUACCGAUGGCGAAGGCAGCCAUCUGGCCUAAUACUGACGCUGAGGUACGAAAGCAUGGGGAGCAAACAGGAUUAGAUACCCCGUAGUCCCUGUCUCUUAUACC
This 307-nucleotide ribosomal RNA is filed under the name uncultured bacterium. Its description in RNAcentral is "partial 16S ribosomal RNA". It matches the Rfam family "Bacterial small subunit ribosomal RNA", at positions 506 to 808 of the family's 1533-position model. The record is from RNAcentral.